Molecule: long non-coding RNA, 628 nt
Filed under: Equus caballus (horse)
Lineage: Eukaryota; Metazoa; Chordata; Mammalia; Perissodactyla; Equidae
Description: lncRNA (ENSECAG00000056101.1)
Source: RNAcentral
GAUCAUGUGUGCCUGGAACUCAGAAGAGCGUUCUCAGGUAGUGAUAUAAAUUUGUGAGUCGUCUGCAUAUAGAUGGUAAUUGAAUCAAUAUGAAGGAGUCAUCAAAUGAAAAGAGGAAAGAUGAGAGCACUGAACUUAGGGAAAUUCAAUAAUUAAUAGCCUCUGGAAGAGACUGCAAAGAAAGACAGAGGACGGAACAGCUAACAAGAUAGGAGGAAAACCUAGAGGAUAUUGGGAUUUCCAAGGGAAAUCAGUGUUUCCAUUAGGAGGGAGGGCUGGUGCUUGAAUGCUGCUGAGAAGUUAAGAAAAGGAAGCAUCCUUCUAGUUGAUUCAUGUAAACCCACUGCCAACUAAAAUCCUUAAAUGUUUUUUUCAGAUGUAAACAAACAACGCCAAGAUCUCAAUGGCUGAAUAGAAUCAGGCUUUAUUCUCGCUCGCAUCCCAUUCCGAUGAGGUUUGAGUUGCUUACUUCAAAGAGGUACUUUGGAGGGGAAAAUGUACAAGAUACGCAAGGUCCCUGACCUCAUUAUGGAGAUUCCACAACACUGAAGAGGAAAAGGAGAAUGGAUGUAUUGGGACAAUCCAUUGCCAACAAUCAUUUUGUGUUUCAUUUAUGGGAUCCAUUUCU